CCCAGUGGCGCUGUCCUGCCGGACCUCGGUUCCCAGGGCUGGGUUCCUCCAGCCCCAGAAUCAGAUGAGCCCACGCACACAUUAACAGAGUACAUGUGAGAGAGAGAGAGAAGCAACCAGCUUGACCAUGAAAGUUAUUUAUUGCCAGGGAUCCCAGGGCUCAGUUGCAUGCAGAAUAAUUCACUAGCAGGUGGCAUGUGGGGGCGCCAGGGAGAGCCAGUCCCAUCACUGUACGACACCUGGUGGAUUGCAACAUUGCAUCUGGGAGCAGCAUGCAAUCGGGCCAGAGACCUCUUGUACCAUGUCCAAGAGAUUUCCACCUUCGUCUAGGGGUGCGGAACACAUCAGAUUGCUGACAGCAUUCCCCGGGGGUGCCUCUGUUCCCGCUCGCAUAUUAAAU
Caretta caretta (loggerhead turtle) is the source of this 400-nucleotide long non-coding RNA. RefSeq lists it as uncharacterized. The record is from RefSeq and is a predicted model, not a curated record. Lineage: Eukaryota; Metazoa; Chordata; Testudines; Cheloniidae.